Molecule: ribosomal RNA, 253 nt
Filed under: uncultured bacterium
Lineage: Bacteria
Description: partial 16S ribosomal RNA
Rfam family: Bacterial small subunit ribosomal RNA
Source: RNAcentral
UACGUAGGCAGCGAGCGUUGUUCGGAAUUAUUGGGCGUAAAGAGUGCGUAGGCGGUGCUCUAAGUCUGUCGUGAAAUCUCCCGGCUUAACUGGGAGGGUGCGGCGGAAACUGGAAUGCUAGAGUGUGGGAGAGGUAAGCGGAAUUCCUGGUGUAGCGGUGAAAUGCGUAGAUAUCAGGAGGAACACCUGUGGUGUAGACAGCUUACUGGACCACGACUGACGCUGAGGCACGAAAGCGUGGGUAGCAAACAGG